UGGGGUGUAGCUCAACCGGCAGAGCGCCUGGCUGUUAACCAGGAGGUUGGUGGUUCGAGCCCACCCGCCCCAG
This 73-nucleotide transfer RNA is filed under the name Gemmatimonadota bacterium. Its description in RNAcentral is "Gemmatimonadetes bacterium tRNA-Asn". It matches the Rfam family "tRNA". Rfam says of the family: Transfer RNA (tRNA) molecules are approximately 80 nucleotides in length. Lineage: Bacteria; Pseudomonadati; Gemmatimonadota. The record is from RNAcentral.